Molecule: ribosomal RNA, 492 nt
Filed under: uncultured bacterium
Lineage: Bacteria
Description: partial 16S ribosomal RNA
Rfam family: Bacterial small subunit ribosomal RNA
Source: RNAcentral
AGUGAACGCUGGCGGUAGGCCUAACACAUGCGAGUCGAACGGCAGCACAGUAAGAGCUUGCUCUUACGGGUGGCGAGUGGCGGACGGGUGAGGAAUACAUCGGAAUCUACUUUUUCGUGGGGGAUAACGUAGGGAAACUUACGCUAAUACCGCAUACGACCUACGGGUGAAAGCAGUGGAUCUUCGGACCUUUCGCGAUUGAAUGAGCCGAUGUCGGAUUAGCUAGUUGGCGGGGUAAAGGCCCACCAAGGCGACGAUCCGUAGCUGGUCUGAGAGGAUGAUCAGCCACACUGGAACUGAGACACGGCCCAGACUCCUACGGGAGGCAGCAGUGGGGAAUCUUGGACAAUGGGCGCAAGCCUGAUCCAGCCAUACCGCGUGGGUGAAGAAGGCCUUCGGGUUGUAAAGCCCUUUUGUUGGGAAAGAAAAGCAGCAGGUUAAUACCCCGCUGUUCUGACGGUACCCAAAGAAUAAGCACCGGCUAACUUCGUG